GGAUUAUCAAGUNUCUUGUGAAAUCUAACGGCUUANCCGUUAAACUGCUUGGGAAACUGAUAAUCUAGAGUAAGGGAGAGGCAGAUGGAAUUCUUGGUGUAGGGGUAAAAUCCGUAGAGAUCAAGAAGAAUACCCAUUGCGAAAGCGAUCUGCUGGAACUUAACUGACGCUAAUGCGUGAAAGCGUGGGGAGCAAACAGGAUUAGAUACCCUGGUAGUUCACGCCCUAAACGAUGUAUACUAGUUGUUGCUUCGCUAGUCGAGGUAGUAAUGCACCUAACGGAUUAAGUAUACCGCCUGGGGAGUACGGUCGCAAGAUUAAAACUCAAAGGAAUAGACGGGGACCCGCACAAGCGGUGGAGCAUGUGGUUUAAUUCGAAGAUACGCGAAGAACCUUACCCGGACUUGAUAUCUAACAAAUCAUCCAGAGAUGGAAGAGUGUCUGCUUGCAGAAAUGUUAAGACAGGUGCUGCACGGCUGUCGUCAGCUCGUGUCGUGAGAUGUUGGGUUAAGUCCCGCAACGAGCGCAACCCACGUCAUUAGUUGCUAACGGUUCGGCCGAGCACUCUAAUGAGACUGCCUUCGCAAGGAGGAGGAAGGUGUGGACGACGUCAAGUCAUCAUGGCCCUAUGUCCGGGGCGACACACGUGCUACAAUGGCGUAUACAAUGAGACGCAAUAUCGCGAGAUGGAGCAAAUCUAUAAAAUACGUCCCAGUUCGGAUUGGAGUCUGCAACUCGACUCCAUGAAGCCGGAAUCGCUAGUAAUCGUAGAUCAGCCAUGCUACGGUGAAUACGU
RNAcentral lists this ribosomal RNA (796 nucleotides) under uncultured bacterium. RNAcentral describes it as "bacterial SSU rRNA". It matches the Rfam family "Bacterial small subunit ribosomal RNA", at positions 577 to 1371 of the family's 1533-position model. The record is from RNAcentral.